ACAUAAGCACAGAGGGAGCUUUGCUCCUUGGGUGACGAGUGGCGGACGGGUGAGUAAUGUCUGGGAAACUGCCCGAUGGAGGGGGAUAACUACUGGAAACGGUAGCUAAUACCGCAUAACGUCGCAAGACCAAAGAGGGGGACCUUCGGGCCUCUUGCCAUCGGAUGUGCCCAGAUGGGAUUAGCUAGUAGGUGGGGUAACGGCUCACCUAGGCGACGAUCCCUAGCUGGUCUGAGAGGAUGACCAGCCACACUGGAACUGAGACACGGUCCAGACUCCUACGGGAGGCAGCAGUGGGGAAUAUUGCACAAUGGGCGCAAGCCUGAUGCAGCCAUGCCGCGUGUAUGAAGAAGGCCUUCGGGUUGUAAAGUACUUUCAGCGAGGAGGAAGGUGUUGUGGUUUUUAUCCUCAACAUNGACGUUACUUGUGGGGGGGGACAGCCCCCCCCCGUUCUA
RNAcentral lists this ribosomal RNA (455 nucleotides) under Citrobacter murliniae. Its description in RNAcentral is "partial 16S ribosomal RNA". It matches the Rfam family "Bacterial small subunit ribosomal RNA", at positions 60 to 510 of the family's 1533-position model. Lineage: Bacteria; Pseudomonadati; Pseudomonadota; Gammaproteobacteria; Enterobacterales; Enterobacteriaceae. The record is from RNAcentral.